Molecule: long non-coding RNA, 69 nt
Filed under: Junco hyemalis (dark-eyed junco)
Lineage: Eukaryota; Metazoa; Chordata; Aves; Passeriformes; Passerellidae
Description: lncRNA (ENSJHYG00000013183.1)
Source: RNAcentral
GGGAUCUGUCAGAUGUGUGGGCUUGCUGUGCUGUGCUCUAAACCCUCUGUACUAAACCAGGUGUAAAAG